GGACCACUAAAAAAUGCAAUUGACUGGGCAUCAAGAGCACCAAAUGUUUGGGCUGGUAAACCUGCUGCAAUAGUGAGUGCUGGAGGAGGCUUUGGUGGGGGAAGAUCACAGUAUCAUCUACGCCAAAUUGGAGUAUUUUUGGAUCUUCAUUUCAUCAACAAACCUGAAUUCUUCAUCAAUGCAUUCCAGCCACCAGCAAAGUUUAACAGUGAUGGUGACUUGAUUGAUGAAGAUGCCAAAAUUAGGUUGAAGGAAAUCCUUCUGUCCUUGAAGACAUUUACCCUUAGACUUCAAGGGAAAAAUUGAGACAACCAUGAUUCCCAAAGAGUGUUGAAUGGAUUUUGGCUCAUACCUUUUAUGACUGUUUUCUGCAGAGACAAGAUAACGUACAUGUUUUUACAUUUUGUAACUUUUGUCUAUAUUGGUGUGUCUUGGUUUGUUUUGCUGCUAUUUGAGUAAAAUCCACAUGCCUUAAAUUAUAUUCAGUUCUACCACGUGAUGUGGCCAUGCAUGGGCUUGCUGUUAUAUCAGUUUCCUAUAUACAUCUAUAUAUUUGUAAUAUAACACAGAUCUAUCUCUUCAUUCAUAAUAAUAAUUCCUUUCUUGCACCUCUUCUCUUUCUCUCGCUCGUACAAAUUCAAGAUGAUCAAAUCCAUUAUAUAAUCGCAAAUAUUUUCUUUUUGUCUUAAAAUCAUGACAUGCUUUCUUUACUUAAAAAACAUGCUUGAGAAUGUAUUUCCAUUUUGAAAUAUUCUUUUUCACAUAAGUUCGUUUUACAUAUACCUUUAAAAUUAAAAGAUAAAAUAAUGUUAUAAAUUAAAAUUAGUUUAUACGUGAAUUAAAAAUAAAACAUUAGAAAAUUUACACACAAAAAACUGUAAAUUACCAUGAAAUUUUAUUAACGGAUUUAAAUUCAUUGAUAAUUAUAAUUUAUCAAUAGUAUUACUAACAAAAUUCUUUAUUUAAUUUGUUGUUGAAAUUAUUUGUCGAUAUGAUCAUAAAAGAAAAAUUUUGUCAAAAAUACUCGUCAAUAAUAUUAUACAAACAUUAUUGAAAAAAAGACUAGUCAUUAAAUUUAACAAAAUGAAAGAUAUCAAAAUUUCAUAUUUCUUUCCUACUUUAGUGGGAUGUUCGCUUUUUCUCCAAUCCCUUUACUCAUCCACGUUUCUAUCCUUAAUUAACUGAUUUACUGUUUCAUUCAUUGAUUCAUGCAUUCGCCUACUGAUAUCGUUAGUAAGUUUAAGGUUUUGAUUUUAGCAUAAUGUAUUUAAAGAAUGGUUCACUUAUUCAUUCAUUCUAGCAUUUUGCAUAGACGUUUGAUUUUGAAUGUGGUUCUUGAAUUAUAGGUUAGUAUUUGAGUGGACAAUUCUAAUACCAUUUUUAUCUCUACUUGCAAAGGUUAGAAAUUUUGUUCAUUUUAUCCAUCUAUUUUAGUUCCAAGUUUGUAGGUUGAGCUUGACAAUAUUACAAUCGGGUAGCUUGAGCUCGGCAACUCAACAAGACGAGCUUGGCAUAUCUAAUUUGCUAUAUUGUUUUUGUGAGUUGGUUUUCAAAGUUGUUAAUGUAAAUUCUACAUUUGCCUGGUUUGAUUGAGUUGCAUUCUCAGUUUCAGUAUAUCACAACAAUUAUGUUAUCAGCAUUAGGGUUGCGUUGUACUUUCAUUCAAUCUUUUAUCGACAUUGGUUUAACAUUUAAAUUACCAUCUAAAAAUUAUGCAUGUGUUCAUUGAAAACGCAUAGAAUAAAUCAAUUAUGAUAUCUAUUUUGAAUUCAAUUAAACAUUUCAUAUAGCACUGCAUGUUAUGAAUUAAAAUAUGUUAUCAUAUCAUAAUAGGUGUAGUAAAACUAGGUGUAAUAAAAUAUGAAUAACAGCCAGGGAGCUUGAGCUCGACAACAUAACUGCGUAGGCUGAGCUUGGCAGCUCAACAAGACAAGCUCGACAGUUGACAGCCUAAGCUCGACAACUUGACCGUCCUAACUAUGCAGAGGGACAAACUAAUUAACUUAAUUAGUAUUUAUACUUUCUUGAAACUAAUUCUAAAACUAAAAAUCAAAACCUAUACUAAACAAACUAACUAAUCUAGUUUAGUAAUUAAACAUGAUAAAGACAACCUUGGUUAAGUGUAGCUCUCCAAACUCCCUUUAAGCUUUCAGCAUGUGCAAUCAAGUGAUGUUUAAGGUGUCCAAUAACCAAAACUUGAUUUGGAGCUUUAACUUGAAAAGUCAACAUUGGGGUCAAUUAUGCAUCUUUUGUCAUUUUAAGUUGUGGUUCAAAUAUGAACCCUUGCUGGAUUUUUUUGCUUGAUCAACCUCUAAUCACCUUUAAUUCAUUGGACAUUUUCCUCCUCAAGCUCGUCACAGAACUUUACCGAAGUUCCCAUAUAUAACCGUUGUUAUAGUGGUAGGAGAGGUAUGAAGAAAACUUUUGUCAUAAGAGUUGAAGAGUUUGUCGAGAUGACUCGACAAUAUAAAUAUUAUGCUCUUGAUAAAGAGAUAAAAUGCACAUACAUCAGGUUCGAAUAUAGUAGAAUUUUGAAAGAUGAGGUGGUUAAAGUUCAUCCAAAUUACAAGAUUUGUACAUUUUAUGGUGAAGAAAUUCCCUCUGUUGAUUUAACUCCACGCAAAAGUUGCCAUAGUAGUUCAAGCACUUUUGUACAUAAUAUGAAUCAAUUUAUGUAUAUGCAAGAGAUGGUGAAUAAUACUCUAAGUCGAUAUACUUCAUUUGAACAAGCAACGAUAGUCGUUUAGAAGAUUCUCUAGAUGAAAUCAUUCAGAGGUUUUACAAUUUAUUGGUAAAGGAAAAUGAGCUUGUAUUUGAAGGGGUAAUAUAGAAUCAAAACUAUCAGUAUGCAUUAGACUUAUGGCUUGCAAAUCUAACUAGAACGUUCCCAACCAAGUAUUAGACUUCAUUUCAAAAAUAUUUUUAGAUCAAACACUAAAUAAUUCCUUACCAAACAAUUAUUUUGAAGCCAAGAGACGUGUUUCUAAGUUGGGAUUGGAAGUGAAGAAGAUUGAUUGUUGUGUGAAUGAUUGUAUGCUUUUUUAUGACAAUGAUAGUGGAAAAAAUUAUGCAUCUUUGCAUCAAUGCAAAUUUUGUGGGCAACCUUGGUAUCACACAAUCCAUCCAAGAUGAAAGCAAUAAAUAAAUAAAUUAUUCCAUUAAAGUUGGUGUUUUACUUGCCUAUAAUUUCAAGAUUAUAAAGAAUGUUUGAUUCAGUGCAAAUAGCACAUGACAUGAUAUGAUGAUAAAAAAGCACAAGGAAUGCUAUGUUAGAUAACACUUUUAUUAACUAAAAUUUCUUUUUAGCCUUAGUGUUAUACAAGAGAUGGACUUUCUUUUUCAUAAGAUGUUAGCUGGUUACUCAUAUAGUCUAUUAGAUGAUUUCAAAAGAGAAACACUUUAUUUAACGUUGCUUAUGAUUUGUGUUCAUUAGACAAUUUAGUCUAGAAAAAAUUAUUCAUAAGCUUGAUUUCAUUUAAAAUAAACGUUAUAAAAUUUGAAUUACUUAAACGUUAUUUUUGUUCAUUACACUUUAUUUGACGUUGCUUAUGAUUUUUAAUCAUUAUUUCUUUUAAACAUCUUUUGAUAUAUAAUAAUAUUUCGUCUAAUGUUUUUUAUUAAACUUUAAAAUCUGAAUUACUUAAACGUUCUAUUCUUUAGACAAUAUUGUCUUAACAGAAAAAGAUUGUAAAAUUAUUUCCAUUAGAAGUGAUCAUAAUAAGAAAUUCGAAAACAAAUUUUUUCAAAUGUUUUGCAAAAUUGAAGUUUGCAAAGAAAUGAUCAAAACUAUAUAUUAAACGAUUUUAAUACUCCUAAAAUUUAUGGGCUGAAAGAGUUAAUAUGACCUGUUAUCUUCAAAACAGAAAACCCAACAUUUCUUACUUUCAUCCAUUUAGUUGACAAUGUUUCAUAUUAAAUAUCAAAAAUAGUUUAAGAAAGUUUGACUUCAAAAUUUUAAAUCAUGACCCAACAUUAAAAAUAAGACUAAGACCAUUACUUAUUCUCCUUUUAAAAUAACUCACAAUUUGUGCUAGAAAGAACACAAAUACAAGCAUAAAAAUAUCUCUAAUAUUAAAACUUUAUAAUUUAAAAUAUUUAAUGAACAUCUGUCAAAAAAAAUGUAUAUAUGCUAUUUGUUUUAUCUCUUCAUAUAACGACAAAAUUAGCUAAACAUUUAAUUCACCACCUUGUGGGAAAGCAGCCCCACCAACCAACCUUCUGCAACUUUUUAUAUAUGAAAAGUCUAAAAUUAAAUUCAAUGUUUUAGUACAGACUGGAAGACGGCAAAAAGAAUUCGUUUCCACCCAACAACGUUGACGUCCACAUAAUCAAUUACAACUAUAUAUAGCAUCCACUCACACACAUCAAAACAACAAAACAUGGCGUCGGCGAACAGAGCAUCCUCGUCGCUGAUUAAGGUGGUGGCGCUCUCCGGCUCUCUCAGGAAAGGCUCUUACAACACCGCCCUCAUUCGUUCUGGUUCCUUCUGCUUUCCUUUCUCUUUUUCUUUCAUCAGUACAACAUUCAAUAAAUAAUAAAUUUUAUUAAGAUAAUUUAUAGAUAACUUAGGUCAAUUACAUAAAAUUUUAAUUUCCAGCCGAUUUUAUAUUUUGUGCAGAUAGUCUUUUCCUAUGUUUUGAAGUGAGUGAUUGAGAUUGAAACUUUAAAGUGGAUAAAAUCUUAAAUGUAAUGAUUUUAUUUAAAGGUCGAAAGAUGAAGAUGGAAAAACAGGAAUGAAUUGUAAUUUGGUUUGACAUAGGUAUUGAGCUGAGCAAAGGAGAGGUUGAAGGGAUCGAGAUUGAGUACGUUGAUAUUUCGGAUUUGCCUUUUCUGAACACUGAUCUUGAGAAAGAUGGAAGUUAUCCCUCAGAAGUUGAAGCUUUUCGGCAGAAGAUUGCUGCAGCUGAUAGCGUUCUCUUUGCUUCCCCUGAAUACAAUUACUCUGUCACAGGUCACUGCACACCUCUCUUAUCAUCGUCAAAUUUAUAUGAUAACAUUCUUCAUAAAACAAAAUAGUCUUAGGGCUUUCAUAAAUACUGAAAGUUAGACUUGUGUUGAAAGUUGUACAUCAAUCGGAUAUGAAAUUAAUUUAAAGUAUAUAAGUAGGUGUAAACUUUAUCUUAUGAGUUAGUUUUGUGAGAUUGAAUUAGGUUUAAGGUUCAUUUCUUAACAUGAUAUCAGUUAAGUGUGAGUCUAUUUUAAUUGUGAUUCGUUUGGAUAUAUUCUUCUACUUGUUAUCGAACCAUUAUUUAAUGUUUAGUGUCACAUUCGAUAUGUAUAUACUUUAUUUUAUAAUUUGAUUUUCUGAGGUUGAAUUAGAGAUAAAAAUGAGAAGGUAUGAUAGAAGUCUCUUGCUCAGGUACGUUAAACCUGAAAAUUGAAUGAUAUGUUGCCUUCAAUUAGAAUGAGUUUUAGGUUAAGAAAAAUGGCUAAUUUUGUGUUUGUUUUAUUGAAUAUCAGGUCCUUUAAAGAAUGCAAUUGACUGGGCAUCAAGACCACCAAAUGUUUGGGCUGGAAAAGCUGGUGCAAUAGUGAGUGCUGGAGGAGGGCAUGGUGGAGCAAAAUCACAGUAUCAUCUACGCCAAAUUGGAGUGUUUUUGGAUCUUCAUUUCAUCAACAAACCUGAAUUCUUCCUGAAUGUAUUCCAGCCACCACCAAAGUUUAACAGUGAUGGUGACUUGAUUGAUGAAGAUGCUAAGAACAAGUUGAAGGAAAUCCUUCUCUCCUUGAAGGCAUUCACCCUAAGACUUCAAGGAAAAAAUUGAACCAACUCUACUCCUCAAAGAUUGUUGCAAUAAGCCAUGGAAGAACUUUCAAAUAGUUCCUACUUUUGGUUCUUUAGUUAAAAUAAUUGUGAUGUUCUAUUCUUUAGUAUCUCCAAUUUCCAAUUGUAGUUUUCCCAUUUGUGUCAAAGUCAGUUAUCCAACUAUUUUAAUUAUACACUUUCAUUCCAUUUCACUCAGAUAACUUAUUAGCUU
This 5978-nucleotide long non-coding RNA is filed under the name Vigna radiata. Its description in RNAcentral is "long non-coding RNA (VRAD_LNC003983)". Lineage: Eukaryota; Viridiplantae; Streptophyta; Magnoliopsida; Fabales; Fabaceae. The record is from RNAcentral.